Long non-coding RNA from Talpa occidentalis (Iberian mole), 6416 nucleotides. RefSeq lists it as uncharacterized. The record is from RefSeq and is a predicted model, not a curated record. The transcript has 4 exons. NCBI's taxonomy places the organism in Eukaryota, Metazoa, Chordata, Mammalia, Eulipotyphla, Talpidae.
CUGCAGCUGCGCAGACGCGGAGCCGCCCUGGAGGCCCGUCCCCCUGGUGCUGGACAGGAGAAGGUGCCAGAUGUCAUCUGGAAGCUCUGAUUUUCUUGUGCGGGUCUCAUUUUGUAAAACCACUUUUUGACAGCCCAUUUAUAAAUAGCACACUCAGGAUGGAAGACAGAUGUCUCAUGCUUGACUCUGCUAUUGUGCAUGGCACCUCUCCAUCCUUGUGGCCAGAGCGGGGUACUUCUGACCUACCUGAGUUGCAUGCCUGUGCUCCAGGAGCAGACGUCCUUCCUCAGGAGCAGGUUGUUGAGAGUCACCGCGUUGAUCAUGUAGAACAGCUGUUUGAAAACCUGCAAGAUGAUCUCAGGGUCCAGGCCCUGGUCGCACAUGACUGUGUGAAAGGAAUUCAUCUGGCGGAUGAUGGCUUCCAGGCAGUAUGCAUUAUCUCCAUCCACCAUGCUGGAGGAGCGAUUCCGGUAGCCCGUUGGCUUCACACCAGAGAGGCCCUGAAUGCUCUCAUUUUCCAACAUGGCAGAAACUGAAAGACAAGCAUGAUUAGGGAAGUUUGCAUAAUCCCCUCAAAGAUGUUUUUGGACCACUCAGAUCUGCAAGUGUUCAAACAGCGCUUCCACAUGAGCCACUCUUCCAGACUUGUUGCACAGUCAGGUAAUUAUAGUUAGUAUUUCUUUUUCAACGACCCAUUUAUUAGUGAGGAAAUUGAAGCAUGAAGAGGUUAAAUAAUUUGAGAAGCUCCACAGAGAGGAAGGAGGAUUUGGAAAACACAUCCCAAGGGAUAUACUCCCGGAUGGCAUGAGGGCCUCUGAACUACUUGGAAUUCACUUGUAUCUGACCUGUACUCUAAAUACCUGGGACAGCAUUGCACAACAGACCAGGGGCCAUUCCCUCUCCAGCUUUUGUGGAGCACAGUGAAAAGAAACCAGCAAUAGGCAAAAAUAUCAGUGUUUCCUUCCAAAAUGGUGACCAGCCCCAGAAGAUUGUCUUGCGACAUGUCACAUCCCAAAACUUUUAAUAAAAACAAAAACAGGCAGAAGAGGAGACAAAUGUGAUAGCUAAGUAUAUAUGCGUGUGUGUAUGUAUGUGUAUAUGGACAUAUAUUUUUUCUCUCCCUUGUUAGACUCUAUAAGAUGUGUUUACACUGUGGUUAAGUCUUGUCCCUGAGAAAAUAAGCAUGUACAACAGCAGCCUGAGGUGAUGGGAUUCAGGGGCCUCCCCAGCCGUAUAUAGAGAACACACACCACAUUGGGAAAAGUGAUGAACUUGAGUGAAAUAACAUUAAAGGUGUUCUUGGCUUCAAGUGAAAGUCUGUAUGUGAUAUUCGGGUUAGGUACUAGGAUGUCUGGUUUGAAAUGAAGGCCAUUUCUUCUAGUAAUACAGUGAAUCCACUUCAACAUUUAACCUAUCACUUUUAUAAUAAGCAAGUGGUCAAAUGAAGCUCUGACUUAAGGAGAGCUCUGGAAUCAAGGCACAUUCCACAAAGGGUGAGGCCAAGCCGAUGGCACACUCUUUAAACAUUCUAUCAAAACUUGAUCAGGCACAGAAAGUGCCUGAUAAGAUAAGCUUUAAAGAUAAGCUUUAAAAAUUGUUGCACUGUCUAUGGGUUUAUAUUACAUGUUGACCUGGAGAAGGGUGGAGAGUAGACCAAGUAAUCAGAUUUAGUCAGAAACAUGAAAUUGGGCCUCAGGGUCAGUUUGUAUGAAUGCACUUUAUGUUGAGUCUCUUGUGGCCAUAGUGUGCCUUGACAUGGACACCCUGGGUACCUGGCUUAGGAGAUGGGCCCACUAGACACACAGGCUUUCUUCAGCAGUCGCUGAAAGGGCCUUGUCUAGGGCUACCUCAGAAAGUCAGGGUCACAGAGGUCUCCCUGGAGCGUCCUAGGGGCUCUUAGGAAAUGAUGGAUCAUAUGAACUCAUUUCCCUACUACUUCGACUUAAUUUGAGUCUGGGGCUUUUGGGGGUCCUGGCUGCCUUCCUGCUUCCUGACAUAUAGCAGAUGUAUAAUGAAGCAUGCCCAUGGCCUGAAGUCCCAGAGGUGCUCCGAAGACCUUACACCCUCUCCUUAGGGGAGAUCCAUUUUCAGACAAAGCAGGGGUGCCUUCCAUGACUGAUGCCACCCCCUAUUCUGAGAUCUGAGGUGCUCUGAUGUGGAAGCCCUAUGGUUGUGCCUGAGGAAUAAGGACCUGACUGGUGAAGGACCUGGGGCACUUCAGGGAUGGCUUGUGUCAGCACUCACCUCAUCCCCACUGUACUGUUUCAGGCAAUGGAGGAGGCGGCAGGUGUUGGAUAACCAGAAGGAUGUCAUCUCAAAGUCAUCAUUGUGCUUCUGUGGAGAGAAAAAGACAUCCCAGCUCUGAGCAGUGAUUGCCACCUGGUGAGAUGCUUACCUGAUACCGCUCCCUCCGUGUUUCCCUUUCUCACCCAGCAAGACCUGUGAUGGGGAGGUACUCGCCUGUCACAGAGAGGACUCCAGGGCUAAGAAGUUGCAUUACUGUCCCUCCACUACCUGGGAUGGGAAGCAAACCCCUCUCCUGGUCCACACACUGAGGACAGGUGACCUUCAGGCUGAACAUACAAAGCCAGUGACACAGACAAAGCUUCAUGUCAGCAGCCCUGGGCUCUACCACAGGGCUAGUGGUCCAGGCAGGUUGCGAACUAGCAGCGAUCCAACCUAAGGGAUAUUGGGGAACAUGCCCACGAGAUGGUCUGGAAUCUAGCUGUCUAGUCAUUUCAACCCUAGAAAUGGUUCUAAAUCACAACUAAAGGCAAAAAUCUACUCAAAAAUGCAAAUAGCUAUCACAUGGUUUUGGGACUGAGAUGAAGGACUCUGAGGAGCUCAUGAUCUCAGGUAAGCAUUAUCCUUUAAAUGCUGGAGACGUGUCUUCUGAUGACAGUAAGACAAGGAAGUAGAGAGUGACUGGUGUGGCUGGACAUGCCUGUGGGGCUGGUGAUCUGGGCAGGCUUCCCUGAGGAAUUGACAUUAGAAGCCAACCCCUAGCUGGAGCUCACAAGAGGUCAAGGCAGGAGACAAGUGUGAAAGCCACUUUCACAUGCAGAACAGAGAGAUGUGUCCAGGGCUGGUUGUGGCUAAGUGAUUAUGGAGCCUGUGGAAGGGGAGACGGUGCAGCUACUAAGGUCAAACUGGCAGAAGAUGGAAGUGAAAUGUUGGCACCGGCAUGCCCACAGAAGGGAAAUGAGGGGCAGCAGCAGUGGCUCAGUGGUUCCCACAACUGGCCUGGAUGUCUGGUGUCCUGAGGUGGGGAUGCUCUUGUGAACUGAAGUCAGUCUCUAAGACUGGCACCAUUGGGGGAGGAAGCCCCUCCCACUGAGGGAAAAGCCCCUUGUAGUUGGCAUCGCCUCCCUGCAGGCUGACCUGUUACUGCAAUGGCCGCCACUACAUUGGAGAAGCACCUCAUGCCUUUGAGGCGGCAUUCUGGACCCACACCAGUGUCCUCUCAGCAGCCCCAUCUUGCUAGGCUGCCUCGUUUGGGAGCUGACAAAUGUCAGCAGCCUCCCUGGGUGGUGGGCCCCAGCCCCUUGGAAUGGUCCAGUAAACAGCUUAUGUUCAGAGUGGGGCCAGUCCCGCUCAGCUGAAGCAGGACGUCUUCCUACCAUCCCUGGGCAAGGCUCUGAAAGCACUGGGGCUCCCUGGAGGCUUAGCAGGGAGCGGCUGGAGGACUACCCCGGAGUUCUGGGCUUCCUGCCAUUUCUGAGCCCCCUCACCCCUUUCUGGAAGUGCCUGGUGGGUAUUCCGGUUACACAGGUGAGCUGCUUCUGUGCUUACAGCAUUUACCCGCACAGAUGGAGACUUUGUAGAACUUAAUACUACAAAACCUGGGUAGAGAAGCAAUGGUGAGGUGGGGCUUGUGACUCUCCCUGUGAUUUGCAGAUUCAUAUACAGCCUCUUGUUUCUUUCCUGCCAGCUAGCAGUGAUCAGAUUUCCAUUUCAGAGUAAGCCACAGGGCAACCAGUGGUGGCAGGAACCCAGAGGAGGAGACAGACGAGGUGAGAAGGACUUACUGGAUCCACCGCCACCUGGGGCGUGGGCACGUACCUUGAGGACUUUCUUGAUGCCGUUGAUGGUGGAGGUGAGCAGGGAGUGCACCUUGACAUCGUCGUUGAUGUAGUCGGCGUGCCUGAUGCACAUGUAGAGGAUGUAAGCCGGAAGGCAGGGGACCGUGCCUGCCAGUGUCUGGGGCUUCAGAUCUAACAGUAUCAAAGAGCAAGGGCAUUUGCAGCUGAGACCCGUGCAGUUGAGAAUGAAUGUAUGAAUAGAUUUUGGGGCAGGGAGAAGCUUCCCUGGGCACAUAAACACCUCUGACCCUGCCUACCAGCAGUUUCAGAAACUGGUUAAAACCCCAAACACCACAGUCCUGAUUGUAACAAAAUUGGUUCCCAUAUAGAACUCAGAGGUAAGUUUACUCCCUGAGACAAGGCGUUGGUGGCAAGAGACCUAUGAACACAGAGGGGCUCCCUGCCCUGGUGAAACUACAUUCCUCUGCACUCCUGACCAUGGCCACAGGUGGCUUUGGCAGCAAGAAUGCCAGGCUGAUCCCAUGAGAACUUGGCAAAUUGUACAUCUGUGAAGACAGCCAACUUGCCAGGGCCAGGCAGACUGCAGCAACCUCUAGCACAUUUGGCCCUCAGCUGGGAAACUAUUUACCUGGCAGAGUCUGCUGGCCAUUCUCAUAGCCAGAUCAAGCUGGCAGAUGAGUGUUUUCACCGUUGCCCACCUUCCUCCUGUUCCUGUCAGUUUGCUCUGGCAGAACUUAAAGGGGCUUGUGACUCUCCCUGUGAUUUGCAGAUUCAUACACAGCCUCGUUUCUUUCCUGCCAGCUAGCAGUGAUCAGAUUUCCGUUUCAGAGUAAGCCACAGGGCAACCAGUGGUGGCAGGAGCCCAGAGGAGGAGGAGACGGAUGAGGGGUGAAGGGCACCUGCGCUGUCUCCUCCUCCACUCUCAUCUCUUCCACCUGUAACCACCACCCACCCCAGACCUCAGGCACCUUCUCCAGCUUGGAAUGGCCAGUGGGAGAGGCCACGUACCCUUCACCUACAGGCGGACCAGGGGCUGGGGAAGGGACAGCAUCCUUAGAUCUGCCAGGGCUGUGCUGCCAGCCUCUCUAGUUGAUCCUGGGGUCACAUUGCCUCCCGAGCACAUCCCGUCCUUCUAGUCAGCUUCAUACUCUGGUACGUGGUUAACAUUCGGGCACUUCAUAGGCGCGACAGAUGUCUGUGAAUCCACCCUGGCUCUAAUUAGAACGUCAGGAAUAUCCAGAAAAGCAUAUUUUAGGGCCCAGACAUCUGAACGAUAGCCUCUUGCUUCAAGUCUGACCCAUGUGCAGAUUGCAGACAGCCUGUCCUACCCUGGGAUGUGAGCCUGGUCUCCCGUCGGCUGGCUUGGUCUGCCCAGACAGAUGGUAAAAUCAUGGGGGCCAGGACCGCGGCUCUACAGUUCUCUCAGCUAGCCAGUGCUGGUGCCUAAGAGGUGGGCACAAAAGCCCUGGCAGCCGUUGGGAUGGCGUGUUCUGCAGGGAGGUGACGGCACUGUGCAGCUAGCUUAGCCAGCAGGACCUUGCCUCAGGCCCCCUGAGCAAGACGCUGGGAGGAGCCGCUCAUCUGCAGACAAGGGCAGGCUCAUUUUUUCACUCUGAUGCUCUGAGCUUUGAGUGUCGCUCACCAGAGAUUAAAGGUUCAUUCCCAGCAGCAUUUGAACAAGAGGCAGCCUCUUUAAGGAAGUUUGAGAUGACCCAUGUCACAUUAAUUAUUGGGCAAGUGUAGGGGAAUUAACCUCUAUAAAAAGAGCAAAAUACGCAGCUACUAAAAAUACCCAAAGCAAAGCGCAAAUGGAAAAUGGGUGCCAGGCCAACGUCACGCUUCGCCAUUCCUGUGGUCCUCAGCACAGGGCUAAGCUGGCAGGUUGGACCUUCUACAAACUUCAGUCUCUAAAACAAUGUUGGUUUCUUAUCUGAACUUCUGCCAAAGCUACCACUUCUUCGAAUUCCUCGACUUCGAGAAGGGUGUGUAGCUUUAGCACUGUCCCCCCUUUGUCAGUUUGCCGGGACCCUGAUGCCCUGUUUACAGAGGUGAGAACUGAGGCCCAGAGAAUGGGGCUGGGCGGGCCAUGGGAGCAGCAAGAUUCCUCUCUCCUCUAGGAUGCUGCCUCCAUAGCAUAGGGGCGGCUGCUGCCCUGAACUAGACACAGAGCAGGAGGCUGGGCACCUUGAAGCCAGAGGGGCCUCAGCCUGUACCACUGGCAGAGCAGGUUUGGGGCCGCUGAGAAAAGCAGCUCGCAAGAGCCCUGCUGUCCACCUGGGCUGCACAGACCUCAGCGUUCAACCACUUGUGAACCGGACAGGAAUGCUGCCUGAGGUGGGUGAGCGAGUGGGGUUUGUGUGGGGGGAUGUGAUG